Molecule: ribosomal RNA, 248 nt
Filed under: uncultured Actinomycetales bacterium
Lineage: Bacteria; Bacillati; Actinomycetota; Actinomycetes; Actinomycetales
Description: partial 16S ribosomal RNA
Rfam family: Bacterial small subunit ribosomal RNA
Source: RNAcentral
GGUGGCUCGAGUGGCGAACGGGUGAGUAACACGUGAGUAACCUGCCCUUGACUUUGGGAUAACUUCAGGAAACUGGGGCUAAUACCGGAUAGGAGCUCCUGCUGCAUGGUGGGGGUUGGAAAGUUUCGGCGGUUGGGGAUGGACUCGCGGCUUAUCAGCUUGUUGGUGGGGUAGUGGCUUACCAAGGCUUUGACGGGUAGCCGGCCUGAGAGGGUGACCGGCCACAUUGGGACUGAGAUACGGCCCAG